Molecule: ribosomal RNA, 500 nt
Filed under: uncultured bacterium
Lineage: Bacteria
Description: partial 16S ribosomal RNA
Rfam family: Bacterial small subunit ribosomal RNA
Source: RNAcentral
AUUGAACGCUGGCGGCAUGCCUUACACAUGCAAGUCGAACGGCAGCACGGGAGCAAUCCUGGUGGCGAGUGGCGAACGGGUGAGUAAAGUAUCGGAACGUGCCCAGUCGUGGGGGAUAACGUAGCGAAAGUUACGCUAAUACCGCAUACGAUCUAUGGAUGAAAGCGGGGGAUCGCAAGACCUCGCGCGAUUGGAGCGGCCGAUAUCAGAUUAGGUAGUUGGUGGGGUAAAGGCUCACCAAGCCGACGAUCUGUAGCUGGUCUGAGAGGAGGACCAGCCAAACUGGGACUGAGGCACGGCCCAGACUCCUACGGGAGGCAGCAGUGGGGAAUUUUGGACAAUGGGCGAAAGCCUGAUCCAGCCAUGCCGCGUGCAGGAUGAAGGCCUUCGGGUUGUAAACUGCUUUUGUACGGAACGAAAAGGUUUGGCCUAAUAAGCUGAGCUCAUGACGGUACCGUAAGAAUAAGCACCGGCUAACUACGUGCCAGCCGCCGCCGUAA